AUGGUUGAUAGCAAUAUCCGACUUGACGUAUUACUUCUAGGAACACGCGUAAUUGGGUUUAAACGUAGAAAAACCCAUAUUAGUUUGUAACCAUAGUAGUUAGGCAAGUGUAAAUAGAACCCAUUUAAAUAGAGGGAUGUAAAGGAAAUCAUAUCAUUCACGAAGCAGUUGAGCAGGCGAUUACUUGUCGAUAUAAUAUUACAAACAUACGCUCGCAACCAUGAAGCUGUCUGCUGUAUUUGUAAUGUUGAUGGCGGUGUUCGCUCUGUUUAUCGGUCAGAGCAGCGCGGACCCUAAAGUUAACUUUAAUGCCAUUAGAAAAGGAGGCAGAGCUAUUGGGAAGUUUUUCCAAGGUGCUGCAAUUCUAGGCGCGGUGCAGGAAGCGAUCAACAAUGGAAAAAGAGGCAAACAUAAGUCGUUCCACUCAAGUAGCUCUAAGAAUUAAAUAUUUAAGUUUAUUUGUUGCGAUUUAAUAAAUUUUACUCAAUUUUGUAUGAAUCAGUAUUAUUUGUAUGUUUUCUAGAGGAGAGUAAAAGAUUUAACACGCAUACGAUUUGUUUACUUCUAUUACUUGUUAUCAUAAACAACUCAGGUGUAGGCAUCGGUCGGAUUUUAUAUCAAACGUACAUAGAA
RNAcentral lists this unclassified non-coding RNA (633 nucleotides) under Melitaea cinxia (Glanville fritillary). RNAcentral describes it as "misc RNA ENSMCXG00005008587.1". Lineage: Eukaryota; Metazoa; Arthropoda; Insecta; Lepidoptera; Nymphalidae. The record is from RNAcentral.